RNAcentral lists this ribosomal RNA (48 nucleotides) under Arabis alpina (gray rockcress). RNAcentral's name for it is "rRNA ENSRNAG00050208023". Lineage: Eukaryota; Viridiplantae; Streptophyta; Magnoliopsida; Brassicales; Brassicaceae. The record is from RNAcentral.
NAGCACGCUUCACUGCGGAGUUCUGAUGGGAUCCGGUGCAUUAGUGCU